CCUACGGGUGGCAGCAGUGGGGGAUAUUGCACAAUGGGGGAAACCCUGAUGUAGCGACGCCGCGUGUGGGAAGACGGUCUUCUGGAUUGUAAACCACUGUCCCCAGGGACGAAAAUGACGGUACCUGGGGAGGAAGCUCCGGCUAACUACGUGCCAGCAGCCGCGGUAAUACGUAGGGAGCAAGCGUUGUCCGGAAUGACUGGGUGGAAAGGGAGCGUAGGCGGGGGUGCAAGUUGGGUGUCAAAACUACCGGCUCAACCGAUAGUGGCACUCAAAACUGCAACUCUUGAGUGAAGUAGAGGCAGGCGGAAUUCCUAGUGUAGCGGUGAAAUGCGUAGAUAUUAGGAGGAACACCAGUGGCGAAGGCGGCCUGCUGGGCUUUUACUGACGCUGAGGCUCGAAAGUGUGGGGAGCAAACAGGAUUAGAUACCCUAGUAGUC
This 440-nucleotide ribosomal RNA is filed under the name uncultured bacterium. Its description in RNAcentral is "partial 16S ribosomal RNA". It matches the Rfam family "Bacterial small subunit ribosomal RNA", at positions 338 to 795 of the family's 1533-position model. The record is from RNAcentral.